Panthera uncia (snow leopard) is the source of this 943-nucleotide long non-coding RNA. RefSeq lists it as uncharacterized. The record is from RefSeq and is a predicted model, not a curated record. NCBI's taxonomy places the organism in Eukaryota, Metazoa, Chordata, Mammalia, Carnivora, Felidae. The transcript has 3 exons.
UUCUACCCCAAACACCUUCCCUCGCUAUAAAUACUAUCCCUAAAACUAGUUUCCAAUGCCUAACACUCUAACCAUAGUUGGCCCACCCUAAAACCCCUCCCAUUAUUCAAAUGCAUCCUAAAGACAAGGGUAACACUGACCUCAUAGCCCCAUGGUGUACAAACAAAGGCUAAUCAUCCCUGGCACUAUAACAUAGCUUGGCUUAGAAACCAGGAAGGCAGGCCAGCUGCGGUAAAGGGAUAGUCUCUGGAAGCUGAGGGUAGGAGUGAGGACAAUAGAAGUUUGGAGUCAUCUUGAAGGCGGCCUAGGGCAGAGGGAAAAAACUUCCAGGGCAAACAGCCUCCGGGAGACAUUACACGGUGCCCGACACAAGAUCGCUGUUGAUACUUUCCACACCAACUUGGUCGGUGUUGGCACCUGCACAGGCUUAUCCCUGCACCAGUGAAAGCUCUACUAAGAAGAACCUGCCAUCUUGGCUCCCUCAAGCUCAGCUGGAGGAGAAAGGGAAGGCUCACGGACAGAAUAAUGCAGGACUCAUUCUGUACAACAUAGAGCUCCCACACUUCCUGGAGCCAGGAAGGAUCCGAAAGGCUAUAGAAGAGGUUGAAGGAUGAAGAGGACAUAGUCAAGAAACGAGGCUGAAGCCAAGCGAGCCACUUCGGUGCAGAUGACCCUCCCUAUAUUGCUGGUAGAAAUAUAAAAUAGGGCAGCCACUACAGAAACGGUUUGGUGAUUCCUCAAAAAUUAAAUAUAGAAUUGCCAUAUGAUCCAGCAAUUCCAGCCCAAGUUAUAUAGCCCAAAUAAUUAAAAGCGGAUAUUCAAACAAAACCUGUACACAAAUGUUCAUAAUAGCACUAUUCACAAUAGCCAAAAGGUGGAAACAACCCAAAGGUCCAUCAAACUGGAUAAUAAAAUGUGGUAUAUCUAUAUAGUGGAAUAUUAU